GGGGAUUUAGCUCAGUGGUAGAGCGCUUGCCUAGCAAGCAUAAGGCCCUGGGUUCGGUCCUCAGCUCCG
RNAcentral lists this transfer RNA (69 nucleotides) under Rattus norvegicus (Norway rat). It matches the Rfam family "tRNA". From Rfam's summary of the family: Transfer RNA (tRNA) molecules are approximately 80 nucleotides in length. Their secondary structure includes four short double-helical elements and three loops (D, anti-codon, and T loops). The record is from Rfam by way of RNAcentral. Lineage: Eukaryota; Metazoa; Chordata; Mammalia; Rodentia; Muridae. RNAcentral also lists the same sequence under 1 other name.